CACGUAGGGUGCGAGCGUUGUCCGGAAUUAUUGGGCGUAAAGAGCUCGUAGGCGGUGUGUCGCGUCGGCCGUGAAAACCUGCAGCUUAACUGUGGGCUUGCGGUCGAUACGGGCAUCACUGGAGUUCGGCAGGGGAGACUGGAAUUCCUGGUGUAGCGGUGAAAUGCGCAGAUAUCAGGAGGAACACCGGUGGCGAAGGCGGGUCUCUGGGCAGUAACUGACGCUGAGGAGCGAAAGCGUGGGGAGCGAACAGG
RNAcentral lists this ribosomal RNA (254 nucleotides) under uncultured bacterium. RNAcentral's name for it is "partial 16S ribosomal RNA". It matches the Rfam family "Bacterial small subunit ribosomal RNA", at positions 524 to 776 of the family's 1533-position model. The record is from RNAcentral.